CUAGUAGAAAAUUUAUAUUAUCCUGUUAAAUAUAAAAUAUUUAAAUAUUGUUCUCAAGCUCCUAUUAAAUAUAAAAUAUUAAACACCGGUUUCUACUAGUUUGAGCUGGGGUUUGGUUGGAGGAUGGGGGGAUAAGGGGUUACCCCCCCUCUUAUCCCCAAACACAAAAGAAAAAAGGGUGGGAUAGCUAUCCCACCCUUUGUGUGGGAAUAGGGUGGGACAGCUGUUCCCACUCCUAUUUAAUUUUUAUAAAAGGGGCAAUUGCUUAUAUAUCCCUAAAAAGUUCUCGACAAUCUGAUUUACUCCUUAGAAGGUUAAUAUUGAAAAUACCAUUUUUAUGUUCCAACCUAUUUCCAAUAUACUUCUAGAAUUAAAUUCUAUUAAUGAACUGUUCGCAAUAGCUGUUAUCUGUAUGAAAUUACUAUUUUGCCCUUUCAAAUACCCUUCCACCAUCACCGAUGUUUUCUAUUUGCCAUUAAAUUAGGAGUAUAAAAAGUAUUUUGAUUUUUAGUCUUUUCAAAUAUACCCUUCUGCUAUCACCAUUAUUUUUUAUUUACCCGUAAAUUAAGGACAAAAGAGAAAUUUU
Molecule: long non-coding RNA, 586 nt
Filed under: Ananas comosus (pineapple)
Lineage: Eukaryota; Viridiplantae; Streptophyta; Magnoliopsida; Poales; Bromeliaceae
Description: long non-coding RNA (ACOM_LNC032825)
Source: RNAcentral